Molecule: ribosomal RNA, 253 nt
Filed under: uncultured bacterium
Lineage: Bacteria
Description: partial 16S ribosomal RNA
Rfam family: Bacterial small subunit ribosomal RNA
Source: RNAcentral
UACGUAGGGUGCAAGCGUUGUCCGGAAUUAUUGGGCGAAAAGAGCUUGUAGGCGGUUUGUCGCGUCUGCUGUGAAAUUUCGGGGCUCAACCCCGAACUUGCAGUGGGUACGGGCAGACUAGAGUGUGGUAGGGGAGACUGGAAUUCCUGGUGUAGCGGUGAAAUGCGCAGAUAUCAGGAGGAACACCGAUGGCGAAGGCAGGUCUCUGGGCCACUACUGACGCUGAGAAGCGAAAGCAUGGGGAGCGAACAGG